This 610-nucleotide long non-coding RNA is filed under the name Gallus gallus (chicken). The record is from RNAcentral. Lineage: Eukaryota; Metazoa; Chordata; Aves; Galliformes; Phasianidae.
ACAAAACAAGGGGACCCCCAACGCCGGACGCCGCAGCACCAGGCUGUAUUUCCCCACGGCCCACACAGCCCUUCAUCUCCAGCUGCCCCGUUCUCACAGCAGUGGGGCUGGGGGCAGCCCUGGAGGAUGGGCACCUCAGGUGGGCAGCAGCGGAGGGGGCUCAUCCUCAUCAGAGUCAAACUCGGCGUUCUCAUCCUUCAGCCACUUCCCAGAGGGGUCCUGGAUCCACCCGGCGCUCCGCAGCUGUAGGUAUCGCUGCAGCGCCUGGCGCCGUGUGGGGCUGACGGCUGUGGGCCGGGUGGGGGGCGGCGAUGGCGGAGCCCCCCUCGGGACGCCCUCCUGGGCGUGGGUGGAACCCGGUGCUGCCUCUCCUCCCGCACCGCACUGCCCGGGCAGCACAACUGCAGCAGCGGCCUCCACUGCAUCCCUGCGCUCCUUCAUGGCUGUGGGGGCGGCGCUCGGCCCCAUUCGGGCCCUUCCCGCUCUCGCCCCGCUUCCAUCCGCCCCCGUCCUCCGGCAGCAGCUGCUGUACGGAGCGGCCUUCAGCAGCGCGCUCUGCGCGAUCCGCCUCGUCCUGAGCAGCAGAGGGGCCGCGGAGCCCUCAGUGCUC